UGCCCGGUGGUGUAAUUGGCAACACACGAGAUUCUGGCUCUUGCAUUUGGGGUUCAAGUCCCUACCGGGCAG
Molecule: transfer RNA, 72 nt
Filed under: Spirochaetia bacterium
Lineage: Bacteria; Pseudomonadati; Spirochaetota; Spirochaetia
Also listed under: 1 other name
Description: tRNA-Gln
Rfam family: tRNA
About the family: Transfer RNA (tRNA) molecules are approximately 80 nucleotides in length. Their secondary structure includes four short double-helical elements and three loops (D, anti-codon, and T loops).
Source: RNAcentral